Non-coding RNA from Microcebus murinus (gray mouse lemur), 478 nucleotides. The record is from RefSeq and is a predicted model, not a curated record. NCBI's taxonomy places the organism in Eukaryota, Metazoa, Chordata, Mammalia, Primates, Cheirogaleidae.
GAAGCAAAGCCCACAAGUUUCUGACUGUUUCUAUUAAUAAAGGCGGAUCACAGAGACUUUUCAGCAGCAGAUGAGCUUACAGAGCUGUGCCAGGAGGAGCACUGAUGCUAAGCCUCGCAGCUGAUGGAGUGGCUGCUUACCAUGAGACAAUGGAUCUCAAUCCCAACAAAGGAAGAAAAGUGCCCUGUAAAGUGUCUUUAUCCAGCAAGAAAUGCUGAGUUCAUUGCCUGGAAAGACAUCACAUACUUUAAGGUCCCGUACUCAGAGAUUGUGCUGCGGACAUGGAGUGAAGAGCUGUUUUCAGAAAAUAUCUUCAGGAAAAUUCGUCUCUUCAUUGAAGUUCCUACUAUCUGUUGUCUUUGCAAUGCUCUGAGAUUCCCUCGUGUGAUCACUCUAACAGGGAACCAAAGACCUGGCCUGAGGGCCCUCCUGACACCUUAUUUGUCUCACAUCAUCUAUUUGGGAGAGAAAAAAAAAU